GACAGAGGAUGCAAGCGUUAUCCGGAAUGAUUGGGCGUAAAGCGUCUGUAGGUGGCUUUUCAAGUCCGCCGUCAAAUCCCAGGGCUCAACUCUGGACAGGCGGUGGAAACUACCAAGCUGGAGUACGGUAGGGGCAGAGGGAAUUCCUGGUGUAGCGGUGAAAUGCGCAGAUAUCAGGAGGAACACCGGUGGCGAAGGCGGGUCUCUGGGCCGAUACUGACGCUGAGGAGCGAAAGCGUGGGGAGCGAACAGG
This 253-nucleotide ribosomal RNA is filed under the name uncultured bacterium. RNAcentral's name for it is "partial 16S ribosomal RNA". It matches the Rfam family "Bacterial small subunit ribosomal RNA", at positions 524 to 776 of the family's 1533-position model. The record is from RNAcentral.